This 4183-nucleotide long non-coding RNA is filed under the name Sorghum bicolor (sorghum). RNAcentral's name for it is "long non-coding RNA (SBIC_LNC011512)". The record is from RNAcentral. Lineage: Eukaryota; Viridiplantae; Streptophyta; Magnoliopsida; Poales; Poaceae.
GUUGAGCGCGAAGCGUGUGGCGGUGCGCAUGGUGUCCGGGUGGUUGAUGAGGCCCUGGUCCGACUUGAACAGCCCCUGCUUGGCGAUGAGGUCGAAGUAGUACUUGUUGUCGAAGGCGUCGGGCGUGCGCACGUCCAGCACCUGGGUGACCACGUUCCCGCUGGGGUCGCUGGCGCACUUGGCCGCCAGCUUCCGCCGGAACGCCGGGUCCAUGGUGUCGUCGUCCGCGUUCGGCGGCAGACGGUCGCUGAAGGAGGAGCAGUGGCCGCGGCCCACGGUGUGCGCGCCGGAGAGAGCCACCAGGUCCGCCUUGUUCAGGCCGCGGUUCUCGAACGCCGAGAUCAGCGUCGGAACGUCGAAGAAGGGCGCCGGCAGGGUGCCCACCAGGUCGCUCGACGCCGGCGCCAGACCGUCGCGACGCCCCAGAGGAACGUCGAAGAAGGGGCCGCCGGACUGGAUGGAUGGAGUAGGCGUCGAUAUACAGCAAGGUAUCCAACGUACAUAUAUACUCUCAGAUAUAUAGUAGCUAGGGUGAUGAACGGCCGGCCGGCGAUGGACUUACCGCGACGACGGCGUCCCGGGUAGCUAGCGUGGUGAUGUCGGCGCAGGACACGGUUGGCCCACAGGUGGCGUGGACGUCGGCGCGGAUGUCGUCGAUGAGUUUCAGCGCCGCGGGACGCAGCGUCUGGUUGGGUAUCUCAAUCUGCUCGCUCUUGGGACCCGACAGGAGCACGGACGCGUCGCAGCCCUGAUCGAUGCAUGAUGGGUGAUCGAUGGUACUACGUUUUAUUAUUCACAGUUUCGUUCAUGGAUUAUAUAUUGUUAUAUGCUUGUGAACUGUGUGUGUGUGUGUGUGUGUGUUGGUCGGUCUUAAUUAAUUGGUCAUCGUCAGCAUCAACAACGUUUUAACGUAGCUCCAGGGCGGAUCGAUCGUUACCUGCGGGAAGCAGUCGUGGAAGAAGAUGCGGAUGAGCCCGGCGGCGAUGCCGAUGUCGCGGCGGAGUGCCUCGGUGACGUGCCAGCUCACGAUGUCCUCCACGUACGGGCAGGACGCGUCGUAGAACCUCCAGGAGAGGCCGUUUGCGAUAUCGGGUUCGUUCACGGUCACCGUGGCCGACGAGAGGGCGGCGCCGCAGACCGCUGAGAUGGCCACCAGCAGCUGCACGGCGGCCACUGAUCUGCUGCAGCUGCAGCGGGACGACCUGCCCAUUCUGCUUGCCAGGUGCAGCUAGCAAGCACGACGAUGUGUGGUGUGUGGCUUGCACAGGUCAACAGAAGGUGUAGUGCGUUAUUUAUAGGCGCGGUUAUGAAUGCAUAUGCAGCCCCAUAUAUUAUUCUCUAAUCCUCUCAUCGGUCUGAUCCACUAGCUGCAACUUGUUCCAUUUCAUUUGCAUUGCAUCAUCAUCAUAGAGUAAAGCAGCAAGGAAUAAUUAGCAUGGAUCAAGUGAAUGGUUGUAGGAGGUAAAAGUAUUUUUAUGUCGCAUCGCAUGCGUUUUAAAUUAAAUCCUAGUAACAUUUUUAUUAUAGACACAAUAAGUCUUCUGCCGCCAUAUAUAUAUCAUAUAUAUAGAUAUGCAUGCAACUUCGUUGCAGCUUCGUUCCACAUACACUGCACACCCACCUACUACUCACUGUUAUACUAAAUACUAGUGUCAUCUAUCCCUGAGUUGCUCACUCAAGCUGACCAUUUUUCUUGCAUGCAUUGCAUUGGUUCCUUUUGUCAGCGCGUCUGUUGGUUUGAAUAUAUAUAUGGCACCUGCUCAUCGAUCAUAUUCCACGGACCAAGAUAGAUAGGUUAGACUAACAAGAGCGAGCCAACAAGUGGUACAAGAUGAUGCAUUUCUCUAACGACAUCUUUGAAUACUAUACAUGUUAAUAGGAAUGUCUAGUGUAAGUGUACACUCCGCAGGUUGGAAAGCUAGCUAGCUGCCUGCCACCUUUUUCUUUUGAUUUGGAAAAUGCAUGACAGUUUACAACGUCGUAAGUUAAUGAUCCGUUGUUAGCUAGGAAAAUGACAUUCGGAUGGGAUGAUAGGGAUGAGACCUGCCACUUGCAUUUGCUAUUUUGCCACGGGCUAUUCUCAUUCUAUCCCAGCAUAAUCUUGACCAGCAUCAGGUCAGCCAGGGAGGCAGCAUGGGUUCACCCUCUCCAAAAGUCAAGCCAUUCCCUCACAAAUUUGAUCCACAGGGACCUCGACCAUGUUCAGCAACCUACAAGUACAAGCGGUGUAUAUAUACCUAAUAAUUAAGGGCAUGUUUGAGCUAAUAGCCAAACAGGUCAACACAGGUCCCCGAGAUGCCGCUCCGUGCACGAAGCCCGCGUCCCCGCUGUCUAGAGUGGCAGACGAGAGGACCCGAAUAAGCGGGAACUCAAAUUUAUCAACCAUAAAAAUCAUGGGCAUAUUGAGGCCUUGUUUAGUUCGCAAAAUUUUUUGUUUUUGGCUAUUGUAGCAUUUCGUUUUUAUUUGACAAACAUUGUCCAAUCACGGAGUAACUAGACUCAAAAGAUUUAUCUCACAAAUUACAGGUAAACUGUACAGUUAGUUUUAAUUUUUGUCUAUAUUUAAUGCUCCAUGCAUGCGACUAAAGAUUCGAUAUUUACGAGGAAUUUUAAAAAAUUUUGCGAACUAAACAAGGCCUGAAAUUGUCUAUGACACCACAUAGCAACAAAUUAUGAUAAAAUUACAACAGAUCAUGCUACCUAGCUAGUGCCAUGAAGCGCCCAGAAGUGCUCCACCAGAUCAUCGAUCUCGAAGUAAUCAUUGGUGGAGAAGCCUAAACUGCUAGAAAAAUGCAAGCAAGAGUUUUUGAGGGGUAGAGCAAAAGCAAAAACACCGGGUCUGCAAAAGUCCUAAAUUGAAAAGCAAGGUGAGGCCAAGCUUUGAAGAGUUAUUAGCCAAAUAUAUACAAAGAAGAAAGGGGCUAAUCAAAAGGAAAAGAAUUUUCCACGGGAGAAUGAUUUGAAAUCAUUGACAACACACAUAAGGAAGAACUAAAGCCAUCAGUCAUGCAUAAUGUAAUCAAGCCACUGUAACGCAUCCCAUUCUAUUUCCGUGCCGACUUGGUUAUAUCCUUUAUUUGCACUUACUACUAACCUUGCUUGGGUAUGCAUAGGCAGUCAUAAUUCAAUAUUUAGUGUAAUGCGUAUUGCAUAUUCAAAGUAUAUAUAAUUAUCAUCACCAUGGCCAAUUGCUGUUAACAAUAAUUUGGUCGGUCGUCAUAAAGAAAGUGAGAAGGGCAGCGAAGAAGUGUCCCUCUGGAUUAUCUGAGACACAAAAGAGGGAGACCCAACAGUGGACGCGCCAGAUCAAUGAAUGAAACAAUAAGCGUAAGUGAUUCGAUCCAGCAUAUAGCUAGCAGCAGUUGGAGCCGGCAUAACAACAGUUACGGAACUUAUUAUCCGAAUCCGAUCCCGCCCGUUUCCGUUAUUGCGGAAAAAUCCAGAAAUGCAUCGUACGUCGACACUAGCGUGCCACCGGCCGGACUUCCUGGUUCCUGCUCGUCGCGGUGACCGUGAGUCGAUCAGGCGGGCGGACCGGCCACCGCCCACGCUGUGCUGCACAGUUGCAGGUGCUGUACGUUAGUUGCUUCGUCCUCCAUGAGACACAGUUGUAAUCGAUCGCCAUUUUUAGGGCAAGAAAAGGCAAAAAGGAUAUAUACACAGAUAAAAGAUGGAUCUUGCUUCUACUCUGAUCUCGAUCGUCACCCAUGCAUUUGGCCAUUUAUUAUAACAAAUUCGUAAGCUAACACGUACGACGAUACAGAGGAUGCAAAUGCAUGCAUGCGCUAGCAAGGCCAGUGACACACACACGUACGCACGGCCGGCCGCGAUGAGAUGAUCGAUGCCUCUUUAAUUUUGUAAUCACGCGUCGGCCGCGAGCCCCUCGUCGCUGUGGCCUGCAGAUGCGAAGAAGGCGGCCUGGUUCAGCGCGUAGCGCGUGGCGGUGCGGUUGUUUACGUGUUGCCGUCGCUCAUGAGGCCCUGGUCCGACUUGAACAGCCCCUGCUUCGCGAUCAGGUCCAAGCAGUACGUACUUGUUGUCCAAGGCGUCGGGCGUGCGCACGUCCAGCACCUGCGCCGCGUUCCAGACUGCAUGCAAGGGCAUUAUUGCUUUUUUGUCGUCAGCAUGCAGCAGCUGCAUUGUACGUGGACGUGGUCCGGCGAUGGACGGACUUACGUACCGC